Molecule: non-coding RNA, 58 nt
Filed under: Streptococcus iniae
Lineage: Bacteria; Bacillati; Bacillota; Bacilli; Lactobacillales; Streptococcaceae
Description: Lacto-rpoB RNA
Rfam family: Lacto-rpoB RNA
Source: RNAcentral
AUUUGUCGUCUAAUCUAGUUGAAAUAUUGUCCAACUAGACAGAACAGCAGUUAAAUCA